This 378-nucleotide ribosomal RNA is filed under the name Glyptotermes fuscus. RNAcentral's name for it is "partial 16S ribosomal RNA". Lineage: Eukaryota; Metazoa; Arthropoda; Insecta; Blattodea; Kalotermitidae. The record is from RNAcentral.
GGUAAUUUUAUCUUACAAUCAAUAAUAAAGGAUCAAAACAAACACAAAUAAAUGUAUAAAAACAAAGAAGAGUUAAUCUUAUCUUCUCAUCACCCCAACAAAAUAUAGAAAAAUCAACAACAACCAGCCAAACAAAGAAAGAUAAAUCUAUAUAAAACUCUAUAGGGUCUUCUCGUCCCAUAACAAAAUUUAGGUAUUUUUACCCAAAGCCCAAAUUCAAUUCAAAUCCACAAAAGACAGAUAGCACCUCGUCGAACCAUUCAUACCAGUUCACAAUUAAAGAACUAAUGAUUAUGCUACCUUUGCACGGUCAAAAUACCGCGGCCAUUCAAUAAUAUCAGUGGGCAGGUCAUACUUCAAAACACCACACAAGAAGAG